AAAGCACUGAGGGAGCCGAAGCUCCCUCUUAAAUGGUUACGUGCUUUAUUGUUAUUAUUAUUUCGGGCUUGUUGUUUUUGUUCAAUUGCCCGUUCCUUUUGGCCUGAGGCCUUAGGAAAAUCUCCCAAGUCGGGAGUUAGUAGCAAACGGAUUUCUUUGGAUGCUGACAUUGCAAUGAUCGUUCCGUGAUCCAACCAGUUCAGGUGCUGCUUAUAAGCAGUU
Molecule: unclassified non-coding RNA, 222 nt
Filed under: Pseudomonas segetis
Lineage: Bacteria; Pseudomonadati; Pseudomonadota; Gammaproteobacteria; Pseudomonadales; Pseudomonadaceae
Description: Pseudomonas sRNA P29
Source: RNAcentral